This is a long non-coding RNA of Photinus pyralis (common eastern firefly), 537 nucleotides long. RefSeq lists it as uncharacterized. The transcript is spliced from 2 exons. The record is from RefSeq and is a predicted model, not a curated record. Lineage: Eukaryota; Metazoa; Arthropoda; Insecta; Coleoptera; Lampyridae.
CAAAGUAGCCACAAUGGCGCAUUUUUUUGUGGAAAUACGUUAAAAUAGUGGUGUUUAUUUGCAUGACCCUAAAUGCAUGAGAUGAGAUGGCCACUGACCAGUCGAGGCUAUUGAUGCGACACGUCACGUCAGUAUUGAUUCUUAAGAGUACCUUACAUUAGACACUAACAGUGUGUUUCAAUACAAAAUUCGGGUCGAUAGUAUUUACCAUUAAUUAAUUUCCCUUUGAUUAAUGAUCGGUUUAGUUUAUUAUGGCGAUUAUGGUUUGAACAUUCUCGUGAAAGUGUAAUUUUCUAGCGCGUAACAAAUCUAUUUAUUUUUUCACAAAAUAAUUGAGAAAGCAGUCUAUGUAGGUACUAAGGGCCAGUAUGACCGGUAAUUUCAUACCUUUUAAACUGCCGCCGCCACUGUGCUACAAAAAAGGUACUAAGAAGGUCAAUGAUACUAUCACCGACACGAAUUCACCCGGUUGACAUUUAUCGUAAAACUAGGAAUGCGAUGUUAAAAUACAUUUUAAAAAUAGAUUAUUUACCUGUA